Molecule: ribosomal RNA, 301 nt
Filed under: uncultured bacterium
Lineage: Bacteria
Description: partial 16S ribosomal RNA
Rfam family: Bacterial small subunit ribosomal RNA
Source: RNAcentral
CAGCCGCCACGGGAAUACGUAGGUGGCAAGCGUUGUCCGGAAUUAUUGGGCGUAAAGGGCUCGCAGGCGGUUUCUUAAGUCUGAUGUGAAAGCCCCCGGCUCAACCGGGGAGGGUCAUUGGAAACUGGGAAACUUGAGUGCAGAAGAGGAGAGUGGAAUUCCACGUGUAGCGGUGAAAUGCGUAGAGAUGUGGAGGAACACCAGUGGCGAAGGCGACUCUCUGGUCUGUAACUGACGCUGAGGAGCGAAAGCGUGGGGAGCGAACAGGAUUAGAUACCCCCGUAGUCCCUGUCUCUUAUAU